Molecule: ribosomal RNA, 467 nt
Filed under: uncultured bacterium
Lineage: Bacteria
Description: partial 16S ribosomal RNA
Rfam family: Bacterial small subunit ribosomal RNA
Source: RNAcentral
GACGAACGCUGGCGGCGUGCUUAACACAUGCAAGUCGAACGGAAAGGCCCUGCUUUUGUGGGGUGCUCGAGUGGCGAACGGGUGAGUAACACGUGAGUAACCUGCCCUUGACUUUGGGAUAACUUCAGGAAACUGGGGCUAAUACCGGAUAGGAGCUCCUGCUGCAUGGUGGGGGUUGGAAAGUUUCGGCGGUUGGGGAUGGACUCGCGGCUUAUCAGCUUGUUGGUGGGGUAGUGGCUUACCAAGGCUUUGACGGGUAGCCGGCCUGAGAGGGUGACCGGCCACAUUGGGACUGAGUGACGGCCCAGACUCAUACGGGAGGCAGCAGUGGGGAAUAUUGCACAAAGGGCGGAAGCCUGAUGCAGCAACGCCGCGUGCGGGAUGACGGCCUUAGGGUUGUAAACCGCUUUCGCCUGUGACGAAGCGUGAGUGAAGGUAAUGGGUAAAGAAGCACCGGCUAACUACGU